GGGCCCGGCGGUGCGCUGUGGGCGAGCGGCCAUGGCGGCGGCGGCGGCUGAGGCCUGGUUUGGCAGUGGGGGGAGCCUUGCGCCGUCUGGGCCUGGUGGGGACGCCUCACACCGCCGGCUCCGGCUCAGGGCCGCAGCGCAGAGCUCUCGCCCUGGGCCGGGCCCUCCGCGGAGCUCUCUUCGGGCACACAGAGUUCUGCUAAUAAAAUGGUGAAAUCCAAGCAGUGAGGAGUGUACCUUCUCUUUGCAGAGACUGCUUCUAUUGCUUGUGAAGGUUGGUCAGUGUGUAGCACUCCUUUAAGCUGAGGACUUGAGGCCUCUGGGAUGAGCACCUGCUGUGUGAGCUGGUGUAGAAUGUAAGCAAAUGCUUGUAAUUAAAAGUACAUUAGGGAGAAGGCUGUUCAAAGCUGAUGUGAAGAUAUAGUGGAACCUUAGGAGGUGACUGCUCUCUCAAAAUGUAAGUCAUAAUUUAAAGAUGUUUAUAUUUGUGCUUCUCAAGUCAGUGAUAAUGAAAGCUGACUGAAGUUCCUAUCAGUCCACAAACCAAGUGCAUAUGUAAUACAUAGGUAAAGGGAUAUUUUUUUAAGACUUAGUCUUUUGUUGCCAUGAAGGAAAAAACAGUGGAGAAUUGUUUUCCAUGCCUGAGAAGAAGAAUUCUUAUACCUCUCAGAGGAGGAUGAAUAAUAAGGUGUAGUGCAUGUGAAGUGACCUUCACAGAAUAGGAGAAUAGCUAUCACUCUAUUUGGGGCCAGUAUCUGCCAUAAGAAUUGUCAGGCUAGCAGAUAAGUGUUUGUUAGAAUGUGCGGGUAUCAAAGCGCUUUUUGCUGUUAACAGCAUUGUGAAGCUGCUUUAAAGAAUGAUCCAUACUCAAGAAUUGUGCCUAAUUUACUGUGAUGCAGUUAAGAAAUUUCAUGUCAUCUUGAAAUUUCUCUAGCAUUUCAGUAAUUUAACUGUGUUUCUGUUAAGCUGUUCUAGUUGACCUCUUUCUUCCUCCAAGAUCCAGAGAAUGAUUUCUUAGUGACUCAAAGUUACCUGAAAUUAUUCAGUAGUUCAGAGAUCUGUCCGAGUUCUUGAAAACAUGUUUGAGAGCCAAAAUGGAUGGAGAGCUAAUUUUCAUCUGAAGUUUCUGAUACUAGAAGAAAAUUGUUUGAAACUUGAACUAGAGCAAGACUUCUUAGAAGUCAAAAUCUUGAUCUUGAAGUACUUUGAAACUAAAUCAUUUCUUGGCAUAAAAACAGCUUUUGUAAUUGGCUUCUUAAGCUGCUAACUUGUGUUAAGAACAUAAUGGUAUGAGUCAGUAAAACUUACUGUGGAUGGGGGAAAAUGUUGUGACUAUUCAUGAAUAGUUCUAAUAUGGAGUCUUACUGAUUUAGCCAAGAUUGAGGACAAUCUCUAGAAGGCUACAGUGGAAAGUUCUUUGAGUUGCUAUGGUAAGUAUGCUGAGUGUGUAUGGACUGUAUAAAAUCACUAAAUAAAUCAUUGGUAUAUAAGUGAUGUGUGGAAGUGUUUGUAUCUUACAAGGCAUGGACUAUUAAAAUAAUGGCAUUACUCUUCUAAUAAUCUCAGCUGUGCUUUAAGAGGCCAGACAUCAGAAAGCCUGGAAAUUCUUCAGAACAGUCUUAACUAGAAUUCUUUUUCUUUCACAAAAGAAUUAAAUGUAUCUUGUUUAUCGAUGGUGACAAUUGUAAUUUCAGUUUUAAGUCAUUUCUUAAACUUAUAUAUGGCAAUCUCAUGGAUUAAUUAUUGCUAUGAAGCUUCUUGAGGAAACCCCCUUCUGCCACACAAAGGCGUAUGAUGUUCUGUGAUAUAUCCAAGCUGCGCUGAAUUUCAAGCAUGGAUCUUCUCAUUAUGUACGUGAAGAGUUGGCUGCCAAGAGAUCAACUUCUGUUCUGCAUGCGAAAAGAGAUGCCACAGUGUGCUUAGUGAUGGCAGUGAGUUGUUAAUUAUUAGUAGUUGCAGCUGCCUGACUAAUGCUACAACUUCACAGAAGUAGCACAAGUAGUGAUGGAAAUGCUGCUACAGGGCUUCCUAUUUAUUUGUGAAGGUGAACUUCAGAGAGACAAGUGAGCAACUCUGAUUCUGCUGAUUUUUGAAGGGAAGACAAACACCUUGAAGAUCUGUUGAAGAUAAUGGAUAAUACAGCUAAGUAAUCCUUUUCUAAAACUUCAGUAGAGAAUAGAGAAGAAACAAGAUGGUGAGAUGGUUGACAAAUUAGUGUGGGCCAGUGUAAACUAUUAAGUCAGCAGGACCCUGAGGAAAUGGCCACAAGUUGUACCAGAGGAGGUUUAGAUUAGAUGUAAGGAAAAGCUAUUUCUCUCCGAGAGUGAUCAGGCACUGGAAUGGCCUGCCCAGGGAGGUGGUGGAGUUGCUGUCCCUGGCAGUAUUCAAGAGGCCUCUGGAUGAGGAGCUAUGAGAUACAGUUUAGUAGCUUGUGGUAGUAAUGGUAAUGGGAGAACAGAUGGACUAGAUGAUCUCGUAGGUCCUUUCCAACCUUAUAAUUCUAUGAUUCUAUGAUCAGGUUGAUCUGCAGAAAUCCCCACUAUUUUAUUUCCUUUAACGUACCCAUUCUGUAGUACCCUUAUUUCAGAGAGUGUUGAGAAUGUUUUGAAUGUGCAGCAGAAUCAGAAUGCAUGAGUGUCCAACCUUCUGGCUUGUCUGGGCCCCACUGAGUGAAGAGUAAUUGUCUUGGGCAGUAGGUUGCUCUGAAAGCAAUGCCUCUUAUUUUCUGGGGACUACAACAGAUACAAUGAGCAUUGUACAAUGUUGCCUUCCCACCAACAUCCACCAUGGACCCUGUGGGCCAAAAUAAUAAAACAGGAGGCAUUACUUCUGCAGCAGCACUUGUAUAGCAUAGUUUUGUUACUUACAUACAUUAACUUACUUUAAUUUCUAGUAUUUCUAUUCAAAUGGGAAAAGAGCAACAAAGCCAUAGAACCAGUGGGAAGUUUGACCUUGUUUUUGUGAAACUAAUGAAUCCAUUUGGUUCAGUGGCAGUGGUUACAAUUCUUAGCGAGUUCUCUACGUUCUCACUGGAGUUUUUUUUAUGAAGCUUUAUUCUCUUCUGUGCUUUGUCCUUGACAACAGUUGUUCACAAAUGUACUACUGCCAAAAGCAAUGACAUGAAUUAGGCAUGACUGUGAAGUGAGGGGUAUUUCUCUUAUAAAAAUCGGGUAAAGAGACAUGAUCAGAUUCUUGAGUUGACUAUCUGACUGCAAAUUUGUACAUCCCAUUUGGGAAAAAUGUAUUUGUGUCAAAGGAAAAUGGAGUUGCGAAUUUACCAAAAUGUUUUUUGCAGUCUUGAAACCAAUUCUCAAAUUCCUUCAUCAAAACUGAAAUCAAGGCUGUAUAUUUUUGCAUUUUGUAGGACUGUUUAGCCAAUGUAUCAAAAGAUAUACAAUUAUUUGCCAUAAUUUGAGUUAGCACUGUGCUCUCUCCAUGCCCUGGUUUCAGCUUGGUGUUAAUAGUGCAGUGAUGUUUGGUUGCUGCUGAGCAAUGGGUGUGUGCCUGGGGCUGGGCAGAGCUGCUGCUGUGGUGGUGGGGGGUGGCUGCCUUGCAAGCUCUGCUGGGCUGCAUGAGGGCUGCAGGUUGGACGUGCCUGUUAUGAUCCCUGCUUAGCCUGAGGAUGUGAGUAUUGAUCAAAACAAGUCUAGAAUAACAGAUUUUACUGGCUGGUGGACUGUGGUUUACUUCUAAGGGGUUCGCAGAAGGUAAGUAGAAACAGCCUUUAAAUUGUUUAUGAAGGCCUAAAUCUUUUUAAGGUUGUUCAGAAUCAGCACGUUGAAAAACACUAAAUCCCUGACCUGUUAUUAGGUGGAAAACACAGCAUUCUCCAUGGUUCUUCCUUAAUAUUUGAGGGGGAAAAAAAGUAGUAUGUUGAGGCCACUGUUGCAGGUUGUUGCAGAAAGCCCACAACAGAGCCUUCUGCUACGUACAGCUCCUGUAUUUGAACAAGAAAUAGAAGAAUCAUGUUUUUUAUCUUGGUGCUUAAUCAGAUCAAAUGGCUCUGCAAGGGGCCACAUGUCUAUCCCUCUCCUUACAGAUGACAGUGAGGCACAGAAGCUGAAAUAACUUAGCCUAAAAAUGUUUUUGGACAUUAGUGGGGCCAGGAAUAGAACCUAAGGAACAGGAGUCUUCAGGGCUUUCUCCACAGCGUCACAUCACAGCUUUCAGAAGCAUAAGCUUCUACCUAUAAUUUCUGACUAUUUCAUAAACUGUUAAUGUAUGCCUGGUCUAAAAAUACUGUUUUGAAGAGUUGGGACUGACCCACUGGUGACUACUUUAAACCUGGAGGGUUGUUUCUCAUAAGCCUGGAAGAAGCGAGCCUUUCAGAAAUAGAGGUAUCUAUGACUGGUUGAACUUGCUUGCUCAGCAGCUGAAUAUAUGAAUGCUGUUUUGUUGCAGUUGCUCUGACCCCUGGUUCUGCUAAAUCUUCCUCAUCUUACAGUAAAUCAUUGUUAAAACUCUCCGCAUUUGCCUGGAAUCUGUCUCUUGAAAUCUAGCUUGAUUUUUGGGUGACCUUAUUGGGUUGCCUUGUGGAUGAAUGUCUGUGCCUGGUGUGUUGUUUGUUGCUGUACUAACAUGGAUUCUGCAGGAUGAGUAAAGACCUUGGGAAGAAAAAAUUGUGUUAUUUCCUGUAAGUGCCCACUGUUGAAACUUGGUUAUUUAACAUCCUAAUUUUGAUCCUGCCCUAAUAAAAAGUUUUUGGAAGUUGGAAUGAUGUCUCAGCUUUUGUUUGUUUUUUUAAUAAAAAGUAGCUGCUGAGGAGUCCUGGUGGAAUGGUGUUCUGAGUUUCAAAGCAUCAUCAGCGCUCUUCUGGUCAUGUUUCAAAACCAUAUCUGUGGGUGCCUACAAACAUCACCUGCCUCAGGAUUUUCUUGGGAGUGUUUUCAGGUUUUGGUGGCAUUGUAGAGUAUCCAAAAGGUGCUUCUUAAGUGGUAUUCAGCACUUCAGUGCUAACUCUGAGGUUUAUGAAGGAGUGAUGCCUACUUCAGUUGUGAACACAAGAAAUGAAAGUGUGGAAGCGAAGCAGUCUGACCAUCAGCAUGUGAAUACGGUGGUAAAAUGUUUUUGCUUCAGAUAUUGAAAGCAAAGCAGGUGAGUGUGGAUUCUAUUAGUAUUAUCUGCCUACUUUACCUUAUAUGUAACUUUUUGUUUGCUGGUGGGAACAAGUUCUUCAUACUAACAAUGAUGAAUAUGAAGAAUCUUGCUAUCUUUCUUUGUUUCCUGGUAGACCACUGCUAUAGAUCUCCUGCUCCAAAAUGCGUCCUUUUCUUUAGGGGGGUUAUUUAAAUGUGGAAGGGUUGUGAGCUUAAUUGCAGUGAGCCUGCCAACAACUGAUCAGAAAAAGUAAAUAAGUAUGGCGCAUCAUGCAUAUGCCUUGUCAGUUUGUUCCAUCUCUAGGUUUGGGCAGCUGGAGGAGAGGAGUUGGGUCCUUGUCCUUCUUAGCCUGGGUUGGAUCUAUCAGUCAUGGCUUAUCUGAUGAGUGAGGGAAAAGGUCUAGUUAACAUUGUGAGUGAUUUAUGGAAGAGAUUUCCCCAGAAAGGGUUUUUGAAUGUCCUGAAGAGUAUUUUGCAGUUAGUGUUUAAUUUGUUGUUGCCAUUAAAAAGCAACUCUGCUCUUCACAGGUGGUGUUUUGCUGUCCCUACCCUGUCCCCUGUUCUGUCAACUAGUACUUAUGCAACAGCGUAGUUAAGCAGGUCAAAGAGGUAAUUUAGCUGAAAAAUAACCUCGCUAGAAGUGCAGCUAGUUUUCAUGUAUGUGUAUAGCUGUUAGCUCAGGGAUGUGGCAGGAAGGCAUGGGUCUUGUGUGGUGAAAAGCUUGGGUUGCACACAGUUGCUGUAAUCCUGGAAUUGCAUGCAAUUUGCCCCUUCCCGAACCUUUGUGUGAAAGCCAUGUUUCAUUAGGUCUGUUUUUCUGGGAUGCCAUCGGAUGUGGCUGUAGGAUCUCUUUGGGCUGCUGAUGAAGCACUGUAUUGUCUCUUGGCUAAUCAAUCCAUUUCAGCAAGUGGAAGCAUGAUCCAGUUUACAGUCACUCAAAGCAUAUGGACUUAAUGACUUUAAGCAGUUUGUUUCCAUUUGUUGCCACGUGGUGGUGAUGUUGGUUGUUCCCUUCUCUCCUACUGCUGAAGGGAAGUGGCGGAUAACAUUGGCAAGGGAUGUCCCAUAGAUAGAUCGGUGCCUCCAGAUGACUCUAACCAGUGCCAUGUGGUUUUGCCAGUUACCAGUAUGGUGAGGAAAUGCAUGCUCCUGUUUGUACUCUUAUUGACAUGUAAGCAUUCCUGUACCUCAGCAGGGUGAGCUAAUCAACAGGAAGUAUUUUGUGACAGACAACACUGACAAAAUAUAAUCAUUUUUCAAGAUAAUGUGCUGCAGGUAUCUCCUUUUGCAUCCUUGGUCGUCAUGGUCCAUAACCCUUUGUUAUGCAGAAGACGUAAAAUCAGGAAUUCAUCCAAGUUAACCAGUAAAGGAUAGCUGGCACUGGGUAUGGGAAGGACUGUUCUCUCCUUCAGUUGCCUACAACUAAUGCCUUGGGUUCUCAUCAGUUUUAUGCUGACAAGCAGAGAUGGGGAAGAGAUCAUCCAUUCAGAACACGUGUUUAAAUGAGAUCAAUAACACUGUAAAAUCCUCUCUGCUGACUACUGAUUAUAAGUGUCAGUGUGAUCUAGGCCUUGAAGAAAUUUAUAUGAUAUAGGUGACAGCAUAGUCACUGGGAGGACAGCUUCCAAAACAGUUACAUCUGAAGAUCUAAAUUUGUUUAAUCAAUUCUGACUUUCCUGCUCUUGUCUGUGUCCAGUAUUACAAACCCAGGUUUGUUGAGGCACUGAAUCUUAUGUCUUCUUGUAGCUCAGUGCUUGUUUCUGUUCUUCUUCACAGCAAAGCAGAAGAGGAAAGUGGAAAACUGAGAUUCUCAUGCAUUUUGAAGCCUUCAUUUCCCUAAGAUGAGAAGGGAAACUUGAAUAAGACAAUAUUAGUCAAACAUUCUAUAGAUUUUUCCAAUUAGGAAUUGUAUAAAAGGAAACAGUGUGUGCUGUCUGUGUGUACAGGUUAUUGUUGGUCACAGUAAGUGCAUGAUUGAGAUGCUGCUCUAGAAUGUUUGUUUUGUAAUCUCCAUUUCUUAAUAGCUGAUCUUUGUCUUUUUUCAUCAAACUGAUGAUCUUAUUUCUGUUUUGAUUAAGUGGAUGACUUUGUCUUGUAAUACUGCUUGGCAAAAACAGGUAUAUUUUGAUAGAAGUUUGGUUUUAGAUUUACAUCUGUAGGUAGCGUUACUUCUGUUGAAGGGGUGCAUUUUAUUUUUUGUUCCAGUGAUAUAUGAUGCAGAAAACAAAUGAGAAUGAGAAAACACAUCAAAUCAAAUGUUCUUCAUGUAAACUCUUUCAACGUGAUGUAUGUUGCAAUGGCUGAUUUGGGGCAGCAUUGGACUCCGGAAUAUGCAGAGCAGUUUUGCAUAGCUCUGAAGAUGUUUGGGUGGAUACUGGAGGUCUAGCCAUCACAAUUAUGUAGUUUCCACAGCCUGCAUGAGUGUCUUGACAGCUGACUAUGUUCUGUUGCAAGACAGUAUAUUGGACUAUGUAUACAUGCCUUCAGUGUUUCAAAACUCAGCCUGUGAGGUGUGGGAGAAAGAAGCUAGCAGUCACAUUUAUGAGUCAAAUUCUUUGGAGGUGUGUGAGAGUAGUUGGUGAAGGAACAUAAAAAGAUGAAGAUCGGGGAAUGGAAUGUUUGGUGUUGGUUUUAAUUAGAAUUGUCCUGCUCAUCAUUCAUACCGUGAGAUAAAAGGGAAAAAUAUCCUCUCUGCACAUGCAGAGAAAAAUAUUUCUAUUACAGUUAGUGAGCAACCCUAAUUGGACUGCCAAAUAUAAAUUUGUCAAAAACUCAUACUGAUUCAGUAUUAAAGCUAGCAAUUAUCUCAGAAGGAAAAAAAAAAAAACAACCAAAAAAAGAAAAAAACACCAAACUAAUAAAGCCCAGUCAGUAAACUUUUCUCUUGUGUAUAUAGGUCUUCUUGUGGCUUUCUCCUUCCAAACAGUAUAAAGAUGGGAUUCAUGUUGUGGUUUGGAAGAGAGCAUGUUUUAAACCAGAGGAGGAAGUCAAUGGAUGACCUUUAGAGCUUAGGGAAGAAGGCUCUUCUGUCUUAGAGGGGCUUUCUUCCAGCUGAGGAGUAACCAGCUGCUCAACCAUACUGCUGUCUUCCCAUAGGUGUGGUGCAGUGACAUGCCAGGAGAGGUAUUUGCUACCCUUGAUUGUAGUUAGUCAUGCUAAGUGACCUGUGCUCUAAUCUCCCAGCAUUGCAAAGCAGCCAAAGUGACCGAUACUGUUACUUCACAUGCUCCUGCAAGGUAGAUUAGAAUCUGCUGCUCCUGAACUUAAUUUGCUGGCAGCAUCUUUAAAAUACUUUCUAGAGCGUUUGGAUCGUAAUCAUUUUUAAGGCUUGAAACUUACUAAAUGAAGCAAAACAAUCUGUUCUCCUUUUGUAUUAAAAAAAAAUAGAUUUAAAUUGUUCUACAUUGUAAAAUCUAAUGUCAGGGUAAGUGUGUGCAAGUAACCUUUUCACCCUCCAGUUGAUACAAAGGACUGUUCUCACUUCACAGAAAUGCCUCUGCGUAGACUGUGGUUCCAUCUGAACCAAUUUGUUUUUGGCUUCUGACUAAAAAGCAUACAAAGAGAUAGUCCAGGCUUCGAUGUCCUAAAACAGGAAACUCAAAAGCGAUGUGGGCCAAUUCAGAGGCAGUCAUUCUGUACUAUGCAGUCAUGGGCCAUUGAAGGAAAAGAAGAAAGUGGCUUUGGGCAAAGUCUGCCUACUUGUAGCAGAAGUCCAAGAGGUAGUCAUCUCUGCAGGUAAAAUGCAAAGUUUGCUAUAUACCUCAGGAUGGAUUAUACUAGUCAAUGGAGAUACAGUAUGUUUCAAGAAUUUACUUAAAAACAAGGAAAAUAAAUUAGUUGAUCUCUCAGACUGCUUCCAGGCAGUAGUUUUUAAACAACUUGUCGUAUGUUUCUUGGCUUUUACAGCUUCACAUAAAAGGUUUUCCUGGUUCAUAAAGGAAAUUAAUGUGAAAUCAAUAAUGGCAUUUAAAAAUUCACCAAACAUUUCCCAUCCGGAGAAAGCCUCUCUCAGAGUGCUACUAAUGAUACAGCAGAGUGGGGAGAACACACACAGCAUUGAUGCUAAAGGCAGACAGAAGGGAAAGCAUCACAGAUAGAAAAUGCAGUGAGGACUGAUGCUUUUGGGAGCCACCAGGAGCAAGGGGGAUCUGCCUGUACCCUGACCUGAACAAACUGUGGGAUCAACUUGCAUGAGGCCUUUGCUUGAAAAUGUAGCCUAGAUGCUGCACUUCCUUCAAGCUAAUGGGUGAAAGUGGCAUGAACAGCAGAGAAAAACUCACUUGAUGGUGAAAAUACCAACAGAAACAUAGUAAGACUUGUUUCUUGUAGUAUAUUACAACUGUAUGACCCCCUGCAUUCCAGGCACUGAAGAGGAUACUUUUGCUGCUUCAGAUUGCUUCAUCCUACUAUCCCAGGAAACCUGGAAUCAUUGUGGAAAUAGGAAAGGCAAGUCAUGGAACAGGAUUUGUUCGUUGUGCUUUCAUUAAAAAUAGGAACUGAGGAGGAACCAUACAAAAGGUACAAGUGAGAUCAUACCUGGUGGUCUGGUGAAUGUAUAUGUGCUUAGGCCACUACUCUACUGAAAAAGUUGCAUUGUAGUUAUAAGUUGUGCAGUUUAAUACCACUGUAACUACUGGCAAUUACCACAUUUAUACCAUUUGUCAGUUUUCCCUUUCUCCCUCCUUUUUCCAGCAUUUUUCUCAGGGUGGCUCAGAAAUAGUGGUGCAGGCCUCUGCAGUCUGAGGUGUGGUGGUCCUUGCUGAAAGGUGGCUUCCUGAUCUCCUGCGCCCAGGAGUGCACCUCUGUGCUGUGCAGCCUCACCUCCAGCACCAGGUGCGGACCUGGGUGCUGCAGUAAAAAAAGGGGGGGGUGGGGCUUAAAGCUGUUUUGGAGCCCAAAGGAGGGCUACAAAGAUGGAGCAGGGUCUGGAGGGCGAGGAGUGUGAGGAGCAGCUGAGCCUCCU
Gallus gallus (chicken) is the source of this 10059-nucleotide long non-coding RNA. RefSeq lists it as uncharacterized. Lineage: Eukaryota; Metazoa; Chordata; Aves; Galliformes; Phasianidae. The transcript is spliced from 3 exons. The record is from RefSeq and is a predicted model, not a curated record.